Molecule: ribosomal RNA, 511 nt
Filed under: uncultured bacterium
Lineage: Bacteria
Description: bacterial SSU rRNA
Rfam family: Bacterial small subunit ribosomal RNA
Source: RNAcentral
GAUCUUGGUUCAGGAUGAACGCUAGCUACAGGCUUAACACAUGCAAGUCGAGGGGCAGCAUUGGAGUAGCAAUACUCAGAUGGCGACCGGCGCACGGGUGAGUAACACGUAUCCAACCUGCCGCUUACUCGGGGAUAGCCUUUCGAAAGAAAGAUUAAUACCGAUGGUAUAAAGAGUUCGCAUGUUCUCUUUAUUAAAGAAUUUCGGUAAGCGAUGGGGAUGCGUUCCAUUAGAUAGUUGGCGGGGUAACGGCCCACCAAGUCUACGAUGGAUAGGGGUUCUGAGAGGAAGGUCCCCCACAUUGGAACUGAGACACGGUCCAAACUCCUACGGGAGGCAGCAGUGAGGAAUAUUGGUCAAUGGACGAGAGUCUGAACCAGCCAAAAGUAGCGUGAAGGAUGACUGCCCUAUGGGUUGUAAACUUCUUUUAUAAGGGAAUAAAGUGAGGGACGUGUCCCUUUUUGUAUGUACCUUAUGAAUAAGGAUCGGCUAACUCCGUGCCAGCCGCCGC